Molecule: ribosomal RNA, 253 nt
Filed under: uncultured bacterium
Lineage: Bacteria
Description: partial 16S ribosomal RNA
Rfam family: Bacterial small subunit ribosomal RNA
Source: RNAcentral
GACGUAGGGGACGAGCGUUGUCCGGAUUCAUUGGGCGUAAAGAGCGCGUAGGCGGCCACGCAAGUCGGAUGUGAAAACCCGGGGCUCAACCCCGGGCCUGCAUCCGAUACUGCGUGGCUAGAGGUAGGUAGGGGAGAUCGGAAUUCCUGGUGUAGCGGUGAAAUGCGCAGAUAUCAGGAGGAACACCGGUGGCGAAGGCGGAUCUCUGGGCCUUACCUGACGCUCAGGCGCGAAAGCUAGGGGAGCGAACAGG